GAUGAACGCUGGCGGCGUGCCUAAUACAUGCAAGUCGAGCGAACGGACGAGAAGCUUGCUUCUCUGAUGUUAGCGGCGGACGGGUGAGUAACACGUGGAUAACCUACCUAUAAGACUGGGAUAACUUCGGGAAACCGGAGCUAAUACCGGAUAAUAUUUUGAACCGCAUGGUUCAAAAGUGAAAGACGGUCUUGCUGUCACUUAUAGAUGGAUCCGCGCUGCAUUAGCUAGUUGGUAAGGUAACGGCUUACCAAGGCAACGAUGCAUAGCCGACCUGAGAGGGUGAUCGGCCACACUGGAACUGAGACACGGUCCAGACUCCUACGGGAGGCAGCAGUAGGGAAUCUUCCGCAAUGGGCGAAAGCCCGACGGAGCAACGCCGCGUGAGUGAUGAAGGUCUUCGAAUCGUAAAACUCUGUUAUUAGGGAAGAACAUAUGUGUAAGUAACUGUGCACAUCUUGACGGUACCUAAUCAGAAAGCCACGGCUAACUACGUG
RNAcentral lists this ribosomal RNA (497 nucleotides) under uncultured bacterium. Its description in RNAcentral is "partial 16S ribosomal RNA". It matches the Rfam family "Bacterial small subunit ribosomal RNA", at positions 28 to 507 of the family's 1533-position model. The record is from RNAcentral.